CGUCUCCGGCGCGUCGUCUCCCCUGCCUGCCCCUCUCAUUCCAGGUGGCCAUAGCAAGCGGCCGGCACCUCAUCGCGCCGUCGCGGCCACCCUCCCCUAAUUUCCCCCGCCUGUCGCGCUCGCCGUCGCAACGGGCCGGUGCCGCCUGAUAAGGGGACAGUGUGCCCGCACGUCGCCGGGACGACCCCGCCGGAGCUCCAUCUGACGGUAACCCGUUCCUGAGCAGUUAGCACACACCUUUCGUCCAACAUGUACUUCCCACGCUUCCUGCCAGAGAGCGGCGAGUCGUCAAAGAUGUUGAGAUCUGGACAUUAAUUUCUGCACCAUCCUGUUGCAGUGUUGCGUCAGGUUGUCUGGUGGCCUGGCUGUGUGAGAUCCAAGUCCCCGGACUAUUGCUACCAUGGCGCAUUUAUGCCGACGAGGACUGCGAUGGGACUCCGGUCACCCGAUGGUUGCGAGUCGACCACGGUUUCUUGGCGUGUUUGAUACAAUCAACACAUCCAUGGCUUUGACAUGGAGCAUUUCUAGGUCCUUUAAUUCCCCACAAAGACCAGCAGCAGUUUCCUAUCCUGCAACCAAGCUAAUCCAAAGCAUUUUUUUCAUACAAUCUCCUUGUUUUGCUCUUCACAAACAUACAGGCAUGACUCUGCUCCCCUUUUUUAUCCUUCUAUUAUCGAUUUGCUUCUGCAAAUCCGAUGACCGCCUUACACCUGCGAAGCCACUCUUGCCUGGCGACAAGCUCGUCUCCAACAAUGGCAUCUUUGCUCUUGGUUUCUUCUCCCCUGAAAACUCCACCGCAAACUCAUAUGUAGGCAUAUGGUACCACGACAUCCCGGAGCGGACGUAUGUGUGGGUGGCCAACCGCGACAACCCAAUCGGCAGCGGUUUGUCUGGGAAGUUGGUUCUCACCAACAGCUCUGACCUUGUCUUGUCAGAUUCCAAGGGCCGUAUCCUUUGGAGGACGACGAACAACGUCACCGCCGGAGGUGAUGGGGCUGUGGCGCUGCUGCUCGAGGCAGGGAACUUUGUCGUCCAGUUGCAGAAUUUCACGCAGGUAUGGCAGAGCUAUGAUCACCCGACUGACACCAUCCUCCCCGGCUUCAAGUUAUGGGCGAACUACAAGACCCACACAGCAGUGCGCAUCGUUGCUUGGAAGGGUUCUCAAGACCCAUCCACCGGGAAAUUCUUCCUCAGUCGUGACCCCAGCACGGGCCUACAGAUCCUCACCUGGCGGGGAACAAGCAAGUACUGGCGCAGCGGACUGUGGAACGGUGCAGAAGCUUCAGACAAGAACGGAUACAUGUGGUCCCAGAACGUCGAUGACGGGGAGAUCAUCUACUCGACGUACAACACUGGCAACAGCUCCUCCCGGAGAUCGCACUGGAAGCUGGACUACACGGGCGACUUGAUGCUCAGGAUCUGGAGUGGCCAGUCAUGGGUGGUUCUGUUCAAGCGCCCAGAUGAUGGCUGCCGCCAAUACGGCUCGUGUGGUCCCUUUGGCUACUGUGACAUGCUCACCAGGGUGUGCAGGUGCCUUGAUGGGUUCGAGCCAGCGGAUGGCUUCAGUGCCAACUUCUCCAGAGGAUGCGUGAGAAAGGAGGCGCUGACAUGUCAUGGCUACCAUUUCUCAGCCUUGCCUGGGAUGAAGGUGCCUGACAAGUUUGUGUAUGUGAGGAGCAGAAGCUUCAAGGAGUGCACUGCUGAGUGUGAGCGUAACUGCUCCUGCACUGCGUACGCUUACGCCAACUUGAGCAGUAUUGUCACAACCGGUGGCCCAUCAAGAUGCUUGGUCUGGACAGGGGAGCUUGUUGACUUAGAGAAGACAGGCGUACUUGGUGGCAACCUGUACCUUCGGCUUGCUGGUUCUCCUGGACACAACAGGAAGAGUGGUGUCCGUGUGGUAUUAAAGAUUGCACUCCCAGUUAUAUCGUUCCUGGUGAUACUCUCAUGCAUAUAUCUUGUCUGUAUAUGCAAGCUAAGAGGGAAACAAGCAAACAAAGAAAGCAUGAAAAGACCGGCCCUGGAACAGUUUAGCACUUCGCAAGAAGUUUGGGAUCAAAAUUUGGAAUUGCGCUCUAUUAGGUUCGAAGACAUCGCUGCUGCAACAAACAGUUUCCAUGACACGAACGUACUUGGAAAAGGAGGGUUCGGCAAAGUCUAUAAGGGAACACUAGAAAACGGAAAGGAAGUUGCUGUUAAAAGGCUUAGCAAGGGUUCUGAGCAGGGUAUAGAGCAUUUUAUAAAUGAAGUGGUUCUUAUUGCCAAAUUGCAGCAUAAGAAUCUAGUUAGACUUCUUGGCUGUUGUAUUCAUGAGGAAGAGAAGUUGCUUAUUUAUGAAUACCUUCCCAACAAAAGCCUAGACAAGUUUCUCUUUGAUACUGCAAGGAAGUCUGUACUUGACUGGACAAGAAGGUUCAACAUAAUCAAAGGGGUAGCUAGAGGACUUAUGUAUCUCCACCAAGAUUCGAGAACGACGAUAAUCCAUAGAGACCUCAAACCAAGCAACAUCCUGCUAGAUGUGGAAAUGAAUCCAAAAAUAUCAGAUUUUGGAAUGGCAAGGAUCUUUGGAGGCAACGAGCAACAGGAAAGUACCAGACAAGUUGUUGGGACUUACGGGUACAUGUCGCCUGAGUAUGCGAUGGAGGGCAUUUUUUCCGUCAAGUCUGACAGCUACAGCUUUGGUAUUUUGCUACUAGAGAUUGUAAGUGGAUUAAAGAUCAGCUCACCUCAUCAUCUUGUGAUGGACUUUUCAAACCUCAUAUCCUAUGCCUGGAACCUGUGGGCAGAUGGAAGAGUGAGGGAUUUCGUGGACGCGGCCAUCACGGGGAGCUAUUCGCUUGACGAAGUGUCCAAGUGCAUCCAUGUUGGGCUCUUGUGUGUCCAGGACAGCUCCAGUGCUAGGCCACACAUGUCAUCGGUCGUUUCCAUGCUCGACAGUGAAGCCAUUCCUCGUGCACCGCCAGAGCAACCUGUGUAUUUUGCACGGAUAAACUACGAAACCACUGAAGCGAUGGAAGACACGGAGAACUCUGCCAAUGGCGUGAGCCUUACGGCGCUAGAAGGACGAUGACUCCGUUAGCUGCUGCAUGUAUGUAACAAGAAGUAGGACAAUUGAGUUGUCUCAAACUCUCAAUAAGGCGCUGCUUGAUAGGCAAUGCUAUUUGAGGGACCGCCCACCAUGAGUAGAUUAUCCGACCAACAGAAGGUGAUAUUGCACAUAUGUGGAGCGCCGCCAUCCAUGUCACCGGACUCAGAAGGCCACAUCCUCUGGAGGACGACGAACAAGGUCACCUCCGGGGGUGAUGGUGCCAUGGCGCUGCUGCUGGAGGCGGGGAACUUUGUCGUCCAGUUGCAGAAUUUCA
RNA transcript from Triticum dicoccoides, 3362 nucleotides. It is a transcript of the gene named G-type lectin S-receptor-like serine/threonine-protein kinase B120, with no coding region annotated. The transcript is spliced from 9 exons. The record is from RefSeq and is a predicted model, not a curated record. Lineage: Eukaryota; Viridiplantae; Streptophyta; Magnoliopsida; Poales; Poaceae.